Mercenaria mercenaria is the source of this 1069-nucleotide RNA transcript. RefSeq lists it as uncharacterized. Lineage: Eukaryota; Metazoa; Mollusca; Bivalvia; Venerida; Veneridae. The record is from RefSeq and is a predicted model, not a curated record. The transcript has 8 exons.
UUAGCAACGACAUAUUGCAUCGGGAAGCUCAUAUCGACUAUUCAUGUGAAAUUUCAUCAUGAAAUAAAAAUGGCUGAAGAAAACCACGGGUGUUUUGCGUGGCUCAUAAGUUUUAAAAAUUCGUGCAACGAAAGGUGGGCGAGAUUCAGAAAUCGCUUCCGCCAAGGGUUCUUUGUCAUAAAGGGUGAGGUACUUGAUCCAGAAACCUUGUUAAAUGAAACAGGGGCUCGUGACAUGGUCAUCAGGAAAACUCCUUACAAGUCAAAUCAAGUAGUGCCUCAGAGCCUGGCUCCUGUGACUGCUGUAAAAGACGAUGCAAUUCUUAUUGAAAAUGCUUCACUGACGGAAACUACAGAUGAAGAUUUUGACACACUUGUUGGGGAAUACGUGUUUUGCAUUAUAGACAAGGCUGCAGACUCACUGAGACAGGCGUCGCCGGGCAACACAAAAUCUAUCAGGGAGAAAUCAGCCGACGACGGCGUGUCAUUGUCGUCAAGUAUCAUAAGCCAAAUUGCUGACAUAGCUGUGACCGAGAGUUUGUCAAACGUAGUGUUAGAAGACGACGUCAACCACUCUGCCAUUCAUGAUGCAAGACCUAAAACUAUCAAAGAAUUUAUGGGAAGUAUGUUGGCACGUGCUUUCUAUGGAGACAUUGCAGAAGAACAUCAAGCAUGUAUAGAACACAGUUACCGGGAUAGUCUUUCCAAAGACUAACUGGCAGUUUCUCACAGCAGUAAAAGAAGACUGACUUAAAAACAGACCUUCGGCAUUGUUGGAGAUGAAGUUGCGGAUGAUGGUCUACCAACAGUUAGUUUGUAAGAGGCCAAGAAGAGACUACAGGCCAAUUAUGUUUUGUUAUAUUUAUUUGUUACUAUCAUUUACUGCAUUUUAAAACACUGAAUCACGCUUGAAAAAUAAAAUAAUUUUGAGGUUCUGAAUUUUAUUUCUCGUGAAUAAAAUUUAUCGAAACUCAAAAAUGUGUUUGUUUUUAAGGAAUAUUUAUAGGUUAUUGGCUUUGUAUCGGGAAAUAUGCACGAGUUCUCAGCGGAAAUAUUGCGCGACUUUAGGA